CCUUAGAGUUUGAUCCUGGCUCAGGAUGAACGCUAGCGACAGGCUUAACACAUGCAAGUCGAGGGGCAUCAUGAGGUAGCAAUACCUUGAUGGCGACCGGCGCACGGGUGAGUAACGCGUAUGCAACCUGCCCGAUACCGGGGUAUAGCCCAUGGAAACGUGGAUUAACACCCCAUAGUACUUUUAUCCUGCAUGGGAUGUGAGUUAAAUGUUCAAGGUAUCGGAUGGGCAUGCGUCCUAUUAGUUAGUUGGCGGGGUAACAGCCCACCAAGACGAUGAUAGGUAGGGGUUCUGAGAGGAAGGUCCCCCACAUUGGAACUGAGACACGGUCCAAACUCCUACGGGAGGCAGCAGUGAGGAAUAUUGGUCAAUGGACGUAAGUCUGAACCAGCCAAGUCGCGUGAGGGAAGACUGCCCUAUGGGUUGUAAACCUCUUUUAUAAGGGAAGAAUAAGUUCUACGUGUAGAAUGAUGCCUGUACCUUAUGAAUAAGCAUCGGCUAACUCCGUGCCAGCAGCCGCGGUAAUACGGAGGAUGCGAGCGUUAUCCGGAUUUAUUGGGUUUAAAGGGUGCGUAGGCGGUUUAUUAAGUUAGUGGUUAAAUAUUUGAGCUAAACUCAAUUGUGCCAUUAAUACUGGUAAACUGGAGUACAGACGAGGUAGGCGGAAUAAGUUAAGUAGCGGGGAAAUGCAUAGAUAUAACUUAGAACUCCGAUAGCGAAGGCAGCUUACCAGACUGUAACUGACGCUGAUGCACGAGAGCGUGGGUAGCGAACAGGAUUAGAUACCCUGGUAGUCCACGCCGUAAACGAUGCUCACUGGUUCUGUGCGAUAUAUUGUACGGGAUUAAGCGAAAGUAUUAAGUGAGCCACCUGGGGAGUACGUCGGCAACGAUGAAACUCAAAUGAAUUGA
RNAcentral lists this ribosomal RNA (911 nucleotides) under uncultured bacterium. RNAcentral describes it as "bacterial SSU rRNA". It matches the Rfam family "Bacterial small subunit ribosomal RNA", at positions 1 to 913 of the family's 1533-position model. The record is from RNAcentral.